ACUCCACAUACGCAUCCUUUGCUGAGGAUACGGUUAACGGAGCGAAAGCGACGUUCAACCGCAAAAGAAGCAGAGGGGGCUUAGUGGUGGGGUGACUGCGUACCUUUUGUAUAAUGGGUCAGCGACUUAUAUUCUGUAGCAAGGUUAACCGUAUAGGGGAGCCGGAGGGAAACCGAGUCUUAAUUGGGCGUUAAGUUGCAGGGUAUAGACCCGAAACCCGGUGAUCUAGCCAUGGGCAGGUUGAAGGUUGGGUAACACUAACUGGAGGACCGAACCGACUAAUGUUGAAAAAUUAGCGGAUGACCUGUGGCUGGGGGUGAAAGGCCAAUCAAACCGGGAGAUAGCUGGUUCUCCCCGAAAGCUAUUUAGGUAGCGCCUCGUGAAUUCAUCUCCGGGGGUAGAGCACUGUUUCGGCUAGGGGGCCAUCCCGGCUUACCAACCCGAUGCAAACUGCGAAUACCGGAGAAUGUUAUCACGGGAGACACACGGCGGGUGCUAACGUCCGUCGUGAAGAGGGAAACAACCCAGACCGCCAGCUAAGGUCCCAAAGUCAUGGUUAAGUGGGAAACGAUGUGGGAAGGCCCAGACAGCCAGGAUGUUGGCUUAGAAGCAGCCAUCAUUUAAAGAAAGCGUAAUAGCUCACUGGUCGAGUCGGCCUGCGCGGAAGAUGUAACGGGGCUAAACCAUGCACCGAAGCUGCGGCAGCGACACUAUGUGUUGUUGGGUAGGGGAGCGUUCUGUAAGCCUGUGAAGGUGUGCUGUGAGGCAUGCUGGAGGUAUCAGAAGUGCGAAUGCUGACAUAAGUAACGAUAAAGCGGGUGAAAAGCCCGCUCGCCGGAAGACCAAGGGUUCCUGUCCAACGUUAAUCGGGGCAGGGUGAGUCGACCCCUAAGGCGAGGCCGAAAGGCGUAGUCGAUGGGAAACGGGUUAAUAUUCCCGUACUUGGUGUUACUGCGAAGGGGGGACGGAGAAGGCUAUGUUGGCCGGGCGACGGUUGUCCCGGUUUAAGCGUGUAGGUGUGUGUUCCAGGUAAAUCCGGUUCACUUUAACACUGAGGCGUGAUGACGAGGCACUACGGUGCUGAAGCAACAAAUGCCCUGCUUCCAGGAAAAGCCUCUAAGCAUCAGGUAACAUCAAAUCGUACCCCAAACCGACACAGGUGGUCAGGUAGAGAAUACCAAGGCGCUUGAGAGAACUCGGGUGAAGGAACUAGGCAAAAUGGUGCCGUAACUUCGGGAGAAGGCACGCUGACACGUAGGUGAAGUGAUUUACUCAUGGAGCUGAAGUCAGUCGAAGAUACCAGCUGGCUGCAACUGUUUAUUAAAAACACAGCACUGUGCAAACACGAAAGUGGACGUAUACGGUGUGACGCCUGCCCGGUGCCGGAAGGUUAAUUGAUGGGGUCAGCGCAAGCGAAGCUCCUGAUCGAAGCCCCGGUAAACGGCGGCCGUAACUAUAACGGUCCUAAGGUAGCGAAAUUCCUUGUCGGGUAAGUUCCGACCUGCACGAAUGGCGUAAUGAUGGCCAGGCUGUCUCCACCCGAGACUCAGUGAAAUUGAACUCGCUGUGAAGAUGCAGUGUACCCGCGGCAAGACGGAAAGACCCCGUGAACCUUUACUAUAGCUUGACACUGAACAUUGAGCCUUGAUGUGUAGGAUAGGUGGGAGGCUUUGAAGUGUGGACGCCAGUCUGCAUGGAGCCGACCUUGAAAUACCACCCUUUAAUGUUU
This 1729-nucleotide ribosomal RNA is filed under the name Salmonella enterica. Its description in RNAcentral is "partial 23S ribosomal RNA". It matches the Rfam family "Bacterial large subunit ribosomal RNA", at positions 1 to 2215 of the family's 2925-position model. The record is from RNAcentral. Lineage: Bacteria; Pseudomonadati; Pseudomonadota; Gammaproteobacteria; Enterobacterales; Enterobacteriaceae.